This is a long non-coding RNA of Corylus avellana, 1496 nucleotides long. RefSeq lists it as uncharacterized. The record is from RefSeq and is a predicted model, not a curated record. Lineage: Eukaryota; Viridiplantae; Streptophyta; Magnoliopsida; Fagales; Betulaceae.
UAUUCUGCAGGAGAGAGAACAGAGAGAGGAGAUAGCUACAGUGGAGAGCUGCUUCGCCAUACCGAUUUGAUCAUCUUUCUCGCACCGUUAUCGGGUGCCAGGGUGCUAGAUUUCCGCCCAAAAAUCCGGCCAAUUAAGGGAAUGGAGAGGAAAGUCUCAAUACAUCUGUCUCGCCCUUUCUCUCUCAAAACAAAAUGGGGCAAAAAAUUUCGCCCAUUCUCCUUCUCGAGCAGCUUCUGGUGAUCUCUCUAUCUCUCUCAAUAUGGCCUAUUUGAGGGUAAAAUUUUGCAAGCUUCUGGUGAUCCUUGAGCUUCCUGUUGUUGAUCGGAUGGUAACAGUCUUGCUAAUUGCUUCCUUCAUCUCUCAGAUCUGCGCUUCUGCUUCUGAUGUGCCAUCACGUGUUGCAGAGGAAUGAGCAGGCUAGAGGAGCAAGUCAACAACCUGACUCACUGCUCAUUGGACUGCAAAAAUAUUGCUGAGAAGUUCCAGAUAGCCUGGGACAAGUAUGAGAAAGUGCUCUCGGUUGGGAUGAUGACCCAACAUAAACUCUGAUUUGAAUUGUUUGAAAUUGUCGUUGUCCAUAGAGUAGUAUCAAGUAGUUUCAAAAGCACCAUGCUGCCUGGAAUUAGAGAGUGGAGUGGGAAGUUGAAGCUGUAGAUAUAUGCGGGAAGAAUUGCGCCAACUGCCAGAAAUUGGGAGUUACAGAAUCUGAAACACUGAUGGCAUGCCGCUCAUAUUAGCUAAAAAUGUGGAAGGCCUUAGACUUCGCUGCUCUUAAACGGAGCCCUUAUCUUUCUUCAACAUUGAGAAACCAGAAACUUUUGUGUCACAGUGGGUACGCGCUGUACAAGACUUGCCAAGGUUUAUCUAAGGAUGAGAAGGCUCAGAAAUUAGCCCGGCAACACUGGCUUGAAGUUGAUGAGUUGAUUGAAAGAAACAUUUACUGCAAUGGCUAGACGAGUAAUGCACCCAUUACUGAGAAGGGGACUUGAAUCUUAGUCAACGGAGUUCGAUCGUGAACUUAAAAAUGAGGAGCGCAGAAAUCCUUCUGAGGUUUACAAGCAACGCAAUGAUGAGACAUAGUCCAUGGUAUAUGAAUACACCCUUGGAAAGAAGAGAGUUGAACUCUUUGAUAUGGAAGUAGGAUUAGUGAACCUAGAGCUGAUGAUAAUGUUCAAGUAGCAUCAUGUGAGACCUGUGAUUCACAGAUUUGUUCCAACAUGUUUGAUUGCUACUGUGUCCCAUUAGUGAAUAUGUAUUUUGUUAGUACCUAUGGACAUUCAACCAUCGGGCUUCUCUAGGUGAGUUUGUGUUCAAUGAGGCUAUGGUUUAGAGCCAAGAGGUUGUUGGAAAUAGAAAUAUAUGCCCAAGAAUUUCAAGUAGUUACUAAUUUUAGAAUUCGAGUUCCUAGGUUAUUGGGUUGGAGGUUCAGGAUUAUAAUGCUAAUAAUUAGUGUUUAUAUAAUACAGGGAACCAAGCUCUUCCACUUUUGAUCC